UCUGGUAUGAAAGGUUUGACGAGAUAUUAACUGUUUCAUAAAAAUUUAUAAUAGAAUUUUAUUUUUUAGUCAAAAAGCUAAAAUAAUAUUAAAAGACGAGAAGACCCUAUAAAUCUUUAUAUAUAGAUUAUUAGAAUUUCAUAGAUUUUUUUUGUUAUAAUAAUUAAUUGUAUUUUAUUGGGGUGAUAUUAAAAUUUAAUAAACUUUUAAUUUUAAAAAUCAUUAAUUUAUGAAUAAUUGAUCCGUUAAUAACGAUUAGAAAAAUAAGUUACCUUAGGGAUAACAGCGA
This 289-nucleotide ribosomal RNA is filed under the name Sarcophaga peregrina. RNAcentral's name for it is "partial 16S ribosomal RNA". Lineage: Eukaryota; Metazoa; Arthropoda; Insecta; Diptera; Sarcophagidae. The record is from RNAcentral.